Molecule: long non-coding RNA, 964 nt
Organism: Vicia villosa (hairy vetch)
Lineage: Eukaryota; Viridiplantae; Streptophyta; Magnoliopsida; Fabales; Fabaceae
Exons: 3
Source: RefSeq, a predicted model, not a curated record
CUCGGUUUGUACAUAUUUUUUGGCAUAUGUGACUUUUAUGAGGUUUAUUAUUUUUGAUAUUGCUGUUAGAAAAAUGGAGAAAACGAACUCUGCAGGCAACAAAACCAUCUCCCUGCAAGAGAACGAAGCCGUGAGCCACCACUUUUUCUCCCCUUGAAAAGUCUCACCGAUACCCCAGAACCGUCCCUGAUGCAAUUACGCACCCCUCAAUCAACAACAGUGGAAGCGCAAAAUCGGAAGCGGCAUCGGAUUUGAACCAAACCGCAUCUUUAAACAAACAACGCUGCAAAUUGAAUCAUGUUUUUUUUGCUUUUAAUUUUUGUGGCUUGUAUGGAUUUCUGCAGGAGCACCGGUGCCAUGGCUAUGGUUGUUGAAUGUUGGUGAAAUUCAUUGCCAAGAGCGAUGGGUAAACGAAGAAGAAGAACAGUCCUCACGCGUAACUAUUUUUUUUAAUUUCCAUGUUACCUAUAUCAUUCAUUGUUUGCGUAUUAUUAACAGUUGAAGCACGCAGUUGAGUUGGUAAGGAAGAUGGCACAUGAACCUAGGGGCGCAGGUUCGAUCCUUUGCCCCAGCAUAUAUUUUAUUGAAUUAAUCCACUUGCAGAUCCCACGCAUGCCACCCAUGGGAGGUUCACCAUACACCCUCACAUCACAACCUCAGAUUUCCUCCGACUCAGAUCUGACGCACACAAGGAUAGGGACCCAUCAUGGGGCUUCAAGGACUCACAACACAGGAUCACAGCCCAGGUGUGUUUCCAAAUGAUAGAAAUGAUUUCUUUUGGAGAAAAGCUUAGAGCUAUGGUGAAAGAGUCUAUAUUUACCAAGGUACUCAAGUAUAUUUGUGGAAGCUUGUAGCUUCAUCCAGUUCAGUUGGUGUGUCGCUCUGAUACGUAGCACUCGGAGGAUGUUUAUUUUGUUGUUUCAUGUAGUUAAUAUAUAAGUUGUUGAGUUCUAAGUUGAAUAAU